AGUGAACGCUGGCGGUAGGCCUAACACAUGCAAGUCGAACGGCAGCACAGUAAGAGCUUGCUCUUACGGGUGGCGAGUGGCGGACGGGUGAGGAAUACAUCGGAAUCUACUUUUUCGUGGGGGAUAACGUAGGGACACUUACGCUAAUACCGCAUACGACCUACGGGUGAAAGCAGGGGAUCUUCGGACCUUGCGCGAUUGAAUGAGCCGAUGUCGGAUUAGCUAGUUGGCGGGGUAAAGGCCCACCAAGGCGACGAUCCGUAGCUGGUCUGAGAGGAUGAUCGGCCACACUGGAACGGAGACACGGUCCAGACUCCUACGGGAGGCAGCAGUGGGGAAUAUUCGACAAGGGGCGCAAGCCUGAUCCAGCCAGACCGCGGGGGUGAAGAAGGCCUUCGGGUUGUAAAGCCCUUUUGUUGGGAAAGAAAAGCAGCAGGUUAAUACCCCGCUGUUCUGACGGUACCCAUAGAAUAAACACCGGCUAACUUCGU
RNAcentral lists this ribosomal RNA (491 nucleotides) under uncultured bacterium. RNAcentral's name for it is "partial 16S ribosomal RNA". It matches the Rfam family "Bacterial small subunit ribosomal RNA", at positions 29 to 506 of the family's 1533-position model. The record is from RNAcentral.